RNAcentral lists this ribosomal RNA (37 nucleotides) under Biatora helvola. RNAcentral describes it as "partial 28S ribosomal RNA". Lineage: Eukaryota; Fungi; Ascomycota; Lecanoromycetes; Lecanorales; Ramalinaceae. The record is from RNAcentral.
GAUGACGUCCGAUCAGGCAGGAUCCGCUGAACUUAGC